Molecule: ribosomal RNA, 618 nt
Filed under: uncultured fungus
Lineage: Eukaryota; Fungi
Description: LSU rRNA
Rfam family: Eukaryotic large subunit ribosomal RNA
Source: RNAcentral
ACCCGCUGAACUUAAGCAUAUCAAUAAGCGGAGGAAAAGAAACCAACAGGGAUUGCCUCAGUAACGGCGAGUGAAGCGGCAACAGCUCAAAUUUGAAAUCUGGCGCAAGCCCGAGUUGUAAUUUGUAGAGGAUGCUUCUGGGCAGCGGCCGGUCUAAGUUCCUUGGAACAGGACGUCAUAGAGGGUGAGAAUCCCGUAUGCGACCGGUUGGCACCCUAUACGUAGCUCCUUCGACGAGUCGAGUUGUUUGGGAAUGCAGCUCUAAAUGGGAGGUAAAUUUCUUCUAAAGCUAAAUACCGGCCGGAGACCGAUAGCGCACAAGUAGAGUGAUCGAAAGAUGAAAAGCACUUUGGAAAGAGAGUUAAAAAGCACGUGAAAUUGUUGAAAGGGAAGCGCACGCAACCAGACUUGUUGGCGGUGUUCCGCCGGUCUUCUGACCGGUCUACUCGCCGUCGACAGGCCAGCAUCACUUGGGUGCGCCGGAUAAAGGCGCCGGGAAUGUAGCUCCCCUCGGGGAGUGUUAUAGCCCGGCGCACAAUACGGUGCCGCCCGAGUGAGGUCCGCGCUUCGGCUAGGAUGCUGGCGUAAUGGUUGUGUGCGGCCCGUCUUGAAACACGG